This is a small nucleolar RNA of Acomys russatus (golden spiny mouse), 136 nucleotides long. RefSeq annotates it as small nucleolar RNA SNORA17. The record is from RefSeq and is a predicted model, not a curated record. NCBI's taxonomy places the organism in Eukaryota, Metazoa, Chordata, Mammalia, Rodentia, Muridae. The transcript has a single exon.
UCUGCCCCUAGAAGCGUUGCAGAUACAGCUGCUGUGUCACAUGUGCGUCACGAUGGAGCAGAGAGGAGCGAGGCUACGUCUGCUCUCAGUGUUCUGACCUAGGAAUAUCUGAAUGAUUAGUGAGUGGCCAAACAUU